Long non-coding RNA from Cotesia glomerata, 146 nucleotides. RefSeq lists it as uncharacterized. NCBI's taxonomy places the organism in Eukaryota, Metazoa, Arthropoda, Insecta, Hymenoptera, Braconidae. The transcript has 3 exons. The record is from RefSeq and is a predicted model, not a curated record.
GUAUUAUAGAAUUGUAAUUGAGGCUGGCAAUGGCCUGGUCGGCUCGGUGCUCGCUUUUCGAAAAAGUGAGACCCGGGUUCGAUCCCAGCACGCACCAAUAUUUUUCAGUGAUUAUAAUUAAAAAUAUGUGCGUUACGUUACGUUGC